This is a small nuclear RNA of Pseudophryne corroboree (corroboree frog), 190 nucleotides long. RefSeq annotates it as U2 spliceosomal RNA. The transcript has a single exon. NCBI's taxonomy places the organism in Eukaryota, Metazoa, Chordata, Amphibia, Anura, Myobatrachidae. The record is from RefSeq and is a predicted model, not a curated record.
AUCUCUUCUUGGUCCUUUGGCUAAGAUCGGAUGUAGUAUCUGGUCUUAUCAGUUUUACUAUCUGAUACGCCCCCUCUCUGGGGCAUAUUUAUUAAAGGGAAUUUUAGAAUAGGGAGAUGGAAAAAAAGCUCUCUUUCCACUCCACGCAAUGACCUGAUAUUGCAGUACUUUCAUGACCGGUACACAAUGU